Molecule: small RNA, 430 nt
Filed under: Pan troglodytes (chimpanzee)
Lineage: Eukaryota; Metazoa; Chordata; Mammalia; Primates; Hominidae
Description: processed transcript
Source: RNAcentral
GGCCAGAGGCGCCGGUUGGACUCACGGGCGGGGCAUGAUGGGUAACAGGACCGUGGUGGGUACAGGCACCUCGCUGGCGCUCUCCUCCCUCCUGUCCCUGCUGCUCUUUGCUGGGAUGCAGAUGUACAGCCGUCAGCUGGCCUCCACCGAGUGGCUCACCAUCCAGGGCGGCCUGCUUGGUUCGGGUCUCUUCGUGUUCUCGCUCACUGCCUUCAAUAAUCUGGAGAAUCUUGUCUUUGGCAAAGGAUUCCAAGCAAAGAUCUUCCCUGAGAUUCUCCUGUGCCUCCUGUUGGCUCUCUUUGCAUCUGGCCUCAUCCACCGAGUCUGUGUCACCACCUGCUUCAUCUUCUCCAUGAUUGGUCUGUACUACAUCAACAAGAUCUCCUCCACCCUGUACCAGGCAGCAGCUCCAGUCCUCACACCAGCCAAG